Molecule: ribosomal RNA, 253 nt
Filed under: uncultured bacterium
Lineage: Bacteria
Description: partial 16S ribosomal RNA
Rfam family: Bacterial small subunit ribosomal RNA
Source: RNAcentral
UACAGAGGUCUCAAGCGUUGUUCGGAUUCAUUGGGCGUAAAGGGUGCGUAGGCGGCGCGGUAAGUCGGGUGUGAAAUCUCGGAGCUUAACUCCGAAACUGCAUUCGAGACUGCAUUGCUAGAGUAUGGGAGAGGGAAGUGGAAUUUCCGGUGUAGCGGUGAAAUGCGUAGAUAUCGGAAGGAACAUCAGUGGCGAAAGCGACUUCCUGGACCAAUACUGACGCUCAUGUGCGAAAGCGUGGGGAGCAAACAGG